This 127-nucleotide non-coding RNA is filed under the name human gut metagenome. RNAcentral's name for it is "FMN riboswitch (RFN element)". It matches the Rfam family "FMN riboswitch aptamer (RFN element)". Rfam says of the family: The RFN element is a highly conserved domain that is found frequently in the 5'-untranslated regions of prokaryotic mRNAs that encode for flavin mononucleotide (FMN) biosynthesis and transport proteins. The record is from RNAcentral.
UGUCUUCAGGGCAGGGUGCAAUUCCCUACCGGUGGUUACAGCCCACGAGCUUACCGUCAACUGUGUUGGCGGGGCAGAUUCGGUGUGAUUCCGAAGCCGACAGUUACAGUCUGGAUGAAAGAGGACA